UGGUCGUCCCCUCACUCUCAAGGGAAGUGCGUGCAGCUAAGUGAGCUCUGCUGCUACCACUCUCACUGGGUGCGGGUGGGGGUGAAGGUGGGGGACUCAGCCCUAAACCUAGUCCAUACAUACACUUCCUCUUUUAUUCACUUCUCUGUUGAUACUGUUACUAAAACCUUUUUCUUUUUGCCUUCUGCUAAUCAUUUUUCAACUAUCAAUCGUCUUUUUCUAAAGCAAAGAUGUGCCAUUGUCUCAGCCAAUUCUCAACCGUUAAUGAGGUGUUAAAACGAAGAACCGGGGAAAGUUUGUGAUAUAAUCCAUUGAAUUAGAGGCAAAAUUAUAUAAAUAUAAUAUAACAUAAAUAAAACACUGUUUAUAUAUAUAUAUAUAUAUAUAUAUAUAAAUAGAUGCUGUAUUUCUGAUUCUUUUGUUACGGAUUAUGAAUCUCACAAUACCAAAAACUUUACAAUAUUUAUGACAUUAAAUGCCAUAAAGAAAAAAAUUCUGUACACUAAUAUUUACAUAUUGUACAAUUCAAAAUCAUGACUGGCAGGAAAAUCAUGGAUGCAUAUAUAUAUAUAUGUAAAUAUACAAAUACAGGGAGAUAUAUCAAUUUUAAAUUUUAAUAAAAACAUAAUGACUAUUAUUGUAAAAUGUUUACAAUAAAAGUAUGUUUACUAAUUCAAAUUACUGAAAAAAAGAAUUUGCAUUUUUCAGAUUUUAAAAAUUUGUGAUUUUUAAGUCAGUACGCACUGCUUAAAUUGAAACAAGCUAUCAUAAGCUCAACAUCAAAAGAAAACACAGGUAAAUAGAAUCUGUAUCCCAAUAGCAUAAAAUUAAACAUGAAUUGUCAAGCCCUCUUUGACAAUCUCAUUUAUGUUCAUUAUAUGUGCUAGAGUGAUGCACAUUGCUUUUGCUUUAUGUUUUGUUUUGCAAUGAAGUUCACAAGAUAUUACAUAUUUUAUUCAUUUGGAAUAACCAAGAUGAUAUCAUCAAAAACGCUACAGAGCUAAUUUUGCCACCUCAUACAACUCUACAUGCAC
Molecule: long non-coding RNA, 1034 nt
Filed under: Physcomitrium patens
Lineage: Eukaryota; Viridiplantae; Streptophyta; Bryopsida; Funariales; Funariaceae
Description: long non-coding RNA (PPAT_LNC001688)
Source: RNAcentral